GAGUUUGAUCCUGGCUCAGGAUGAACGCUGGCGGCGUGCUUAACACAUGCAAGUCGAACGAUUAAGACGGCUUCGGCCGUGUAUAGAGUGGCGAACGGGUGAGUAACACGUGACCAACCUGCCCCGCGCUCCGGGACAACCGCUGGAAACGGCGGCUAAUACCGGAUGCUCCGGGGAGGCCCCAUGGCCUCCCCGGGAAAGCCCUGACGGCGCGGGAUGGGGUCGCGGCCCAUUAGGUAGACGGCGGGGUAACGGCCCACCGUGCCCGCGAUGGGUAGCCGGACUGAGAGGUCGACCGGCCACAUUGGGACUGAGAUACGGCCCAGACUCCUACGGGAGGCAGCAGUGGGGAAUUUUGCGCAAUGGGGGGAACCCUGACGCAGCAACGCCGCGUGCGGGACGAAGGCCUUCGGGUUGUAAACCGCUUUCAGCAGGGAAGACAUAGACGGUACCUGCAGAAGAAGCUCCGGCUAACUACGUGCCAGCCGCCGCGGUAAUUC
Molecule: ribosomal RNA, 500 nt
Filed under: uncultured bacterium
Lineage: Bacteria
Description: bacterial SSU rRNA
Rfam family: Bacterial small subunit ribosomal RNA
Source: RNAcentral